AACGAACGCUGGCGGCAUGCCUAACACAUGCAAGUCGAACGAGACCUUCGGGUCUAGUGGCGCACGGGUGCGUAACGCGUGGGAACCUGCCCUUAGGUUCGGAAUAACUCCCCGAAAGGGGUGCUAAUACCGGAUAAUGUCUUCGGACCAAAGAUUUAUCGCCUUUGGAUGGGCCCGCGUUGGAUUAGCUAGUUGGUAGGGUAAAAGCCUACCAAGGCGACGAUCCAUAGCUGGUCUGAGAGGAUGAUCAGCCACACUGGGACUGAGACACGGCCCAGACUCCUACGGGAGGCAGCAGUGGGGAAUAUUGGACAAUGGGCGAAAGCCUGAUCCAGCAAUGCCGCGUGAGUGAUGAAGGCCUUGGGGUUGUAAAGCUCUUUUACCCGGGAUGAUAAUGACAGUACCGGGAGAAUAAGCUCCGGCUAACUCCGU
Molecule: ribosomal RNA, 432 nt
Filed under: uncultured bacterium
Lineage: Bacteria
Description: partial 16S ribosomal RNA
Rfam family: Bacterial small subunit ribosomal RNA
Source: RNAcentral